UACGUAGGGUGCAAGCGUUAAUCGGAAUUACUGGGCGUAAAGCGUGCGCAGGCGGUUGUGCAAGACAGAUGUGAAAUCCCCGGGCUUAACCUGGGAAUUGCAUUUGUGACUGCACGGCUAGAGUGUGUCAGAGGGGGGUAGAAUUCCACGUGUAGCAGUGAAAUGCGUAGAUAUGUGGAGGAAAACCGAUGGCGAAGGCAGCCCCCUGGGAUAACACUGACGCUCAUGCACGAAAGCGUGGGGAGCAAACAGG
RNAcentral lists this ribosomal RNA (253 nucleotides) under uncultured bacterium. RNAcentral's name for it is "partial 16S ribosomal RNA". It matches the Rfam family "Bacterial small subunit ribosomal RNA", at positions 524 to 776 of the family's 1533-position model. The record is from RNAcentral.